GCAAACUUGGUCAUUUAGAGGAAGUAAAAGUCGUAACAAGGUAACCGUAGGUGAACCUGCGGUUGGAUCAUUAACAGUGAUGAGUUUUUGGUAUGUUGGCAGCGAAAGCGCGCAUACCAUUCUCUCUCUCUCUCUCUUUGGCGACCGUUGACUGAAUAAUUUUGCUAUGUUGGCAUAGCAAUUUUUUGCGGGUGGCAUAUGCUAUCCGUGACAGCAACACCGAAUUUGCUUUUUUUCUUUUUUUUAAGAAAAAAAGCAACAUACCCCCAACCUUAUACUUUGUUUCGGAUUUCCUUAGGGGAAUCCCUUUUGUGAGUCUCCAAUGCGAUUCUUUAAUCGGAAUGCGUAUAUUUUAAAAAAAUGUUAUAUACAACUUUUGACAAUGGAUCUCUUGGCUCUCGCAUCGAUGAAGAACGCAGC
RNAcentral lists this unclassified non-coding RNA (420 nucleotides) under uncultured fungus. RNAcentral's name for it is "partial contains small subunit ribosomal RNA, internal transcribed spacer 1, and 5.8S ribosomal RNA". The stretch from base 1 to 73 matches the Rfam family "Eukaryotic small subunit ribosomal RNA", at positions 1759 to 1831 of the family's 1831-position model. The record is from RNAcentral. Lineage: Eukaryota; Fungi.